RNAcentral lists this long non-coding RNA (203 nucleotides) under Elaeis guineensis (African oil palm). RNAcentral's name for it is "long non-coding RNA (EGUI_LNC004280)". Lineage: Eukaryota; Viridiplantae; Streptophyta; Magnoliopsida; Arecales; Arecaceae. The record is from RNAcentral.
GGCUAUCCGAUCAUUCGACUCUUUGGUCUCCCAUUAUUUUCUUGUCUCCGGACUCUUUAACAAAAGAGGCCAUUUUCAAGUUAAAAAAUCAAGACAAAAGUCGAAGAAGUGAAAAAAUCAAGACAAAAACCUAAAGAGAGGGGAUAAAGAGGUUUAACCUUCGAAAAUACCGACGAUGAUGAAGGACCGAUGAUGAUGAAGAC